UACGAAGGGGGCUAGCGUUGUUCGGAAUUACUGGGCGUAAAGCGCGCGCAGGCGGUUCUUCAAGUCAGUGGUGAAAGCCCGGAGCUCAACUCCGGGUCUGCCGCGGAUACUGCGAGGCUUGAGUGCUGUAGAGGGGGGUAGAAUGCCGGGUGUAGCGGUGGAAUGCGUAGAGAUCCGGCAGAAGACCGGUGGCGAAGGCGGCCCCCUGGGCAGUAACUGACACUGAGGCGCGACAGCGUGGGGAGCAAACAGG
Molecule: ribosomal RNA, 253 nt
Filed under: uncultured bacterium
Lineage: Bacteria
Description: partial 16S ribosomal RNA
Rfam family: Bacterial small subunit ribosomal RNA
Source: RNAcentral